RNAcentral lists this unclassified non-coding RNA (273 nucleotides) under Hevea brasiliensis (rubber tree). The record is from RNAcentral. Lineage: Eukaryota; Viridiplantae; Streptophyta; Magnoliopsida; Malpighiales; Euphorbiaceae.
GUGGAUGUUGCCAUUCAAAACAAAAAUGAAAUUGAGGAUAAAAUGAAAGAUGGAAUACCUGUUGUCAUAGCAUUAGAAGCUAGGGAAAUGAGGCAUUCACAACAUGAUUGUCCUUCUCAGCUCUCUGGUGAGGAAACACUCAAGCUUAUGAGAGAUCAGAAGAAGAAUUUAAGUGAUUCAGUAGGAGGCAAGAUCAUGGGACUCAAUCAGCAUAAAUAUGUAGGAAGCAGUCAACGGAGAAAGAGGGGAAGACCACGCAAACUAGUAGUUGUU